RNAcentral lists this ribosomal RNA (473 nucleotides) under Macrostemum radiatum. RNAcentral describes it as "partial large subunit ribosomal RNA". Lineage: Eukaryota; Metazoa; Arthropoda; Insecta; Trichoptera; Hydropsychidae. The record is from RNAcentral.
AUCAGGGGUAAACCUGUGGAACUCGAACGAACGAACGGGGAGAUUCAUCGUAUUUCCGGUCGGGUCUGCGAUGCGAUUUUUCCGCGGUCGUGGCGUCGUCUCGUGCGGCGUUUUCGCGAUCGUGGGGGUCGUGUCGUGUAUUGAUUCCCGGAGUGCGUGCACUUCUCCCUCAGUAAAACACCGCGACCCGUUCGGUGUGUCGGGAUCGAACCCGUCGUGCAGUUGACCCGUUUUGGACGUAAAAAAUUCGGAGCGGAGCUGCGACGUGGCGAUCUCGGACGGACGGUAAAAAACGAGGUCUGCUUCCGCCGUUUCGACGGCGUCCGUAUUUCGUACCCUGUCGGUCCCGUUCGGACUUCGACGUUUCGAGCGUCGUGGUUUUCCGUUCGCGGUUUUCCGGCCGGGUUGCGGGAUGUCUCGGACGGGAAGCGUCCCGGUCGGCGGUGGUUUUGUUUCGGGCACUCACAGGACCC